UACGAAGGGGGCUAGCGUUGUUCGGAUUUACUGGGCGUAAAGCGCACGUAGGCGGCCUGUUAAGUCAGGGGUGAAAUCCUGGAGCUCAACUCCAGAACUGCCCUUGAUACUGGCAGGCUCGAGUAUGGAAGAGGUUGGUGGAACUGCGAGUGUAGAGGUGAAAUUCGUAGAUAUUCGCAAGAACACCAGUGGCGAAGGCGGCCAACUGGUCCAUUACUGACGCUGAGGUGCGAAAGCGUGGGGAGCAAACAGG
Molecule: ribosomal RNA, 253 nt
Filed under: uncultured bacterium
Lineage: Bacteria
Description: partial 16S ribosomal RNA
Rfam family: Bacterial small subunit ribosomal RNA
Source: RNAcentral